This 396-nucleotide ribosomal RNA is filed under the name uncultured bacterium. RNAcentral's name for it is "partial 16S ribosomal RNA". It matches the Rfam family "Bacterial small subunit ribosomal RNA", at positions 523 to 918 of the family's 1533-position model. The record is from RNAcentral.
AUACGUAGGGAGCGAGCGUUGUCCGGAAUUACUGGGUGUAAAGGGAGCGUAGGCGGGAGUGCAAGUCAGAUGUGAAAUGCAUGGGCUUAACCCAUGAGCUGCAUUUGAAACUGCAUUUCUUGAGUGAAGUAGAGGUAAGCGGAAUUCCUGGUGUAGCGGUGGAAUGCGUAGAUAUCGGGAGGAACACCAGUGGCGAAGGCGACUUGCUGGGCUCUAACUGACACUGAGGCUCGAAAGCGUGGGUAGCAAACAGGAUUAGAUACCCUGGUAGUCCACGCCGUAAACGAUGAUUACUAGGUGUGGGGGGACUGACCCCUUCCGUGCCGCAGCUAACGCAAUAAGUAAUCCACCUGGGGAGUACGGCCGCAAGGUUGAAACUCAAAUGAAUUGACGGGG